RNAcentral lists this ribosomal RNA (723 nucleotides) under uncultured Actinomycetes bacterium. RNAcentral's name for it is "bacterial SSU rRNA". It matches the Rfam family "Bacterial small subunit ribosomal RNA", at positions 77 to 813 of the family's 1533-position model. The record is from RNAcentral. Lineage: Bacteria; Bacillati; Actinomycetota; Actinomycetes.
UCGCAAGACUGGUGAAGACCGAGUGGCGAACGGGUGCGUAACACGUGAGAAACCUGUCCCGGUCUCUGGAAUAACAGUCGGAAACGGUUGCUAAUACCGGAUGCCGUCGGAGCGUCGCAUGGCGCGCUGACGAAAGGGCUACCGGAUCGGGAGGGUCUCGCGGCCUAUCAGCUUGUUGGUGAGGUAACGGCUCACCAAGGCAUCGACGGGUAGCUGGUCUGAGAGGAUGAUCAGCCACACUGGGACUGAGACACGGCCCAGACUCCUACGGGAGGCAGCAGUGGGGAAUCUUGCACAAUGGGCGAAAGCCUGAUGCAGCAACGCCGCGUGCGGGAUGAAGGCCCUAGGGUUGUAAACCGCUUUCAGCAGGGAAGAAAAUGACGGUACCUGUAGAAGAAGGUGCGGCCAACUACGUGCCAGCAGCCGCGGUGAUACGUAGGCACCAAGCGUUGUCCGGAUUUAUUGGGCGUAAAGAGCUCGUAGGCGGUUCGGUAAGUCGGGUGUGAAAACUCUGGGCUCAACCCAGAGAGGCCACCCGAUACUGCCGUGACUAGAGUGCGGUAGGGGAGUGGGGAAUUCCUGGUGUAGCGGUGAAAUGCGCAGAUAUCAGGAGGAACACCAGUGGCGAAGGCGCCACUCUGGGCCGUAACUGACGCUGAGGAGCGAAAGCGUGGGUAGCAAACAGGAUUAGAUACCCUGGUAGUCCACGCCGUAAACGUUGGG